RNAcentral lists this long non-coding RNA (377 nucleotides) under Macaca mulatta (Rhesus monkey). RNAcentral's name for it is "lncRNA (ENSMMUG00000042221.2)". Lineage: Eukaryota; Metazoa; Chordata; Mammalia; Primates; Cercopithecidae. The record is from RNAcentral.
CAGGAUUAUACACGUGGAUUCCAUAAAACCAAAGCAAACUUUAUGGCAAUACGGGAAAGGGAGAAUCUCAUGGGAUUAGUAUGAAAAGAUAUUGAGUUUCCGUUGGUGGACCGCAUGUAUUACUGUUACGGAAAACAUUCCAUUUCAACGGCUUUCCCUCCCCAUGUGCUACAUACUAAAUCAGUGCUACGGUUUACUUCCACUUGGAGAAAAUGAAGAUAGCAGAGAAGGAAAGGAAAGUAAAAGUCAUGUAAAAGUGGGUCUGGAGUAAACAACAGAAGAACUGGGCUAUUUCUGAAAGAACAUGACCACCUUCAAAAGUAGGUAUUAUUGAAUGUAUGUGCAUGAUGUGGUUUUCCAUGUUUAUUAAUUCGUUU